GUAUCGCUUUACGAAUCGCCGGCGCCGGUAGUUUUUUCUCGUUUUUCUGCUGUUUUGUAAAUUGUUUUUUUUUUUAAUCGAAUAAGCCGAAGAAGAUUUGUUUUUUAGUGAACUGUUAAAUAAAAAACUUUUGUGCUACUCGAUUUGCUAAAAUGAAAAGGCAAUCGAAAGUUGUGAAUCGCCAUCGCCGCGGGUUGUUUUGGUUGUUUCGUGUGAAGCAAAUCGGAUAAAUUGGAUAAAGUUUCUUUUCUAGUGAAGUGUUGAAUGAUGAAAAAAUUUGAUGAAAUCGUUGCCGGAUAUUUGAAUCGUUUUGUUAGUGCUAUCAGCAAUAUCCUUUAAGCCAGUAAACUUAGUUGGAACGUCAUACUAGAUUAUUCCCCCACGAAAACGGCGAAUGUUUAUACGUUUAACCCAACAAGCAACAGCAGAACAAGCAAAGUUGUUGCAUCACGGAUUUACGAUGGCUUAUUAAAAUUUACGUGGCAGGUCUAAUAAGCAAAAAGACCUAUUUCAGUGAUCAGGAUGCAGGACCGUUGGCGACACCGAAAUUAUUACAAAAAGAUCCAGCACUGAUUGAAAUACCUCCAAGUACGUCGAUCACACCAAUAUCAACGUUUUAUGGGGACCAGUGCCGAAGGAGCUGAUUACAGCGGAAUGUACCGCUAAUUGUUACAAUUCUCAAAAAAUUGUGAGGAUAUUCCGGCUUGUUUGGUUUGCUGACGAAACCUGCCAUUCGUUUGUUGGGUGUUGACUGGUGGCGCAUUUCAGACAGACAGGGCUUUGAUUUUGAUAAGGAUACAAAAUAAUUACAGACGGUGAAAAACAGUAUGCCAUCAAACGUGCCACCCACCAUGCCAAUCACAGUAUGUUCAUAUUCAUAAAAGGACCACCACCCAUGAACGGCAUUGUCGAAGACAAUUUUUUAAAAUAACUACUUUUACGACUUGGUUACCAAUCAAAUUGAAAAUCGUGGAACAAUUUUGUCGAUAUCAGUGGUGGUGGCGGCUUUGGUAGUGGUCGGCGCCACUAAAGCAACUGGAUGAACAAUUAUCGUUGAGGCCUCCGAAGUAGCCACUACCGGCCACUAUGGCUAUCAACCAUUAUUCUGCUUGUUAUAGAGCAUAUUUUUCAUAGAGCAUAAUAUAACAGCGCUUAGUAUAUAAGAUGAAAACUAUGCCAAAUGAGCUAACGUCGAAUAUCGACCAUUCUUGGUUUAAAUUAAACUUUACUCACGUUUGAAUAACUUAAAAAAAGCUCAUGUGUCAUUUUUGACUAACAAAAUUCUUAAUAAAUACUCUUUUUCUA
This is a long non-coding RNA of Wyeomyia smithii (pitcher-plant mosquito), 1305 nucleotides long. RefSeq lists it as uncharacterized. Lineage: Eukaryota; Metazoa; Arthropoda; Insecta; Diptera; Culicidae. The record is from RefSeq and is a predicted model, not a curated record. The transcript has 3 exons.